AUACUUAUCUGGCCGGGGAGAUACCAUGAUCACGAAGGUGGUUUUCCCAGGGCGAGGUUUAUCCAUUGUACUCCAGAUAUGCUGACUCCCGAGAUUUCCCCAAAUGUGGCAAACUCGGCUGCAUAAUUUGUGGUAGUGGGGGGCUGCGUUCCCGCUCUCCCCUG
This is a small nuclear RNA of Echinops telfairi (small Madagascar hedgehog), 164 nucleotides long. RefSeq annotates it as U1 spliceosomal RNA. The transcript has a single exon. Lineage: Eukaryota; Metazoa; Chordata; Mammalia; Afrosoricida; Tenrecidae. The record is from RefSeq and is a predicted model, not a curated record.